Non-coding RNA from Bacillus glycinifermentans, 73 nucleotides. NCBI's taxonomy places the organism in Bacteria, Bacillati, Bacillota, Bacilli, Caryophanales, Bacillaceae. The record is from Rfam.
GGAGGAUUAGCUCAGCUGGGAGAGCAUCUGCCUUACAAGCAGAGGGUCGGCGGUUCGAUCCCGUCAUCCUCCA